RNAcentral lists this transfer RNA (57 nucleotides) under Cavia porcellus (domestic guinea pig). It matches the Rfam family "tRNA", at positions 8 to 63 of the family's 71-position model. From Rfam's summary of the family: Transfer RNA (tRNA) molecules are approximately 80 nucleotides in length. Their secondary structure includes four short double-helical elements and three loops (D, anti-codon, and T loops). Lineage: Eukaryota; Metazoa; Chordata; Mammalia; Rodentia; Caviidae. The record is from Rfam by way of RNAcentral.
UAGCUCAGUGGUAGAGCAUUUGCCUAGCAUGCACAAGGCCUUGGGUUCAAUUCUCAG